GAGGAAUAUUGGUCAAUGGGCGCGAGCCUGAACCAGCCAAGUAGCGUGCAGGAUGACGGCCCUAUGGGUUGUAAACUGCUUUUGUAUGGGGAUAAAGUCAAUCACGUGUGAUUGUUUGCAGGUACCAUACGAAUAAGGGCCGGCUAAUUCCGUGCCAGCAGCCGCGGUAGUACGGAAGGUCCGGGCGUUAUCCGGAUUUAUUGGGUUUAAAGGGAGCGUAGGCCGGAGAUUAAGUGUGUUGUGAAAUGUAGACGCUCAACGUCUGACUUGCAGCGUAUACUGGUUUCCUUGAGUACGCACAACGUUGGCGGAAUUCGUCGUGUAGCGGUGAAAUGCUUAGAUAUGACGAAGAACUCCGAUUGCGAAGGCAGCUGACGGGAGCGCAACUGACGCUGAAGCUCGAAGGUGCGGGUAUCGAACAGGAUUAGAUACCCUGGUAGUCCGCACAGUAAACGAUGGAUGCCCGCUGUUGGUACCUGGUAUCAGCGGCUAAGCGAAAGCAUUAAGCAUCCCACCUGGGGAGUACGCCGGCAACGGUG
Molecule: ribosomal RNA, 539 nt
Filed under: uncultured bacterium
Lineage: Bacteria
Description: bacterial SSU rRNA
Rfam family: Bacterial small subunit ribosomal RNA
Source: RNAcentral